This 251-nucleotide ribosomal RNA is filed under the name uncultured prokaryote. RNAcentral's name for it is "partial 16S rRNA". It matches the Rfam family "Bacterial small subunit ribosomal RNA", at positions 525 to 775 of the family's 1533-position model. The record is from RNAcentral.
ACAGAGGGUGCAAGCGUUAAUCGGAGUUACUGGGCGUAAAGGGCGCGUAGGCUGAUAUUUAAGUUAAUUGUGAAAUCCCUGGGCUUAACCUAGGAAUUGCAUUUAAUACUGAGAAUCUAGAGUAUGGUAGAGGAAAGUGGAAUUCUUGGUGUAGGGGUUAAAUACGUAGAUAUCGAGAAGAAGACCGGUGGCGAAGGCGACCUACUGGUACAUUAUUGACGCUGAGGUGCUAAAGCGUGGGGAGCACACAG